This 383-nucleotide ribosomal RNA is filed under the name uncultured Atopobium sp. RNAcentral describes it as "bacterial SSU rRNA". It matches the Rfam family "Bacterial small subunit ribosomal RNA", at positions 82 to 476 of the family's 1533-position model. The record is from RNAcentral. Lineage: Bacteria; Bacillati; Actinomycetota; Coriobacteriia; Coriobacteriales; Atopobiaceae.
GGAUGUGUAUAAAGUGGCGAACGGCUGAGUAACACGUGGGCAACCUGCCCUCUGCACUGGGAUAGCCUCGGGAAACCGAGGUUAAUACCGGAUACUCCAUAUUUGUCGCAAGGCGAAUAUGGGAAAGCUCCGGCGGCAAAGGAUGGGCCCGCGGCCUGUUAGCUAGUUGGUGGGGUAGUGGCCUACCAAGGCAAUGAUGGGUAGCCGGGUUGAGAGACCGACCGGCCAGAUUGGGACUGAGACACGGCCCAGACUCCUACGGGAGGCAGCAGUGGGGAAUCUUGCACAAUGGGCGAAAGCCUGAUGCAGCGACGCCGCGUGCGGGAUGAAGGCCUUCGGGUUGUAAACCGCUUUCAGCAGGGACGAGGCCGCAAGGUGACGGU